Molecule: ribosomal RNA, 426 nt
Filed under: uncultured bacterium
Lineage: Bacteria
Description: bacterial SSU rRNA
Rfam family: Bacterial small subunit ribosomal RNA
Source: RNAcentral
GGGGAAUAUUGGACAAUGGGGGGAACCCUGAUCCAGCCAUGCCGCGUGUGUGAAGAAGGCCUUAUGGUUGUAAAGCACUUUAAGCGAGGAGGAGGCUCUUUUGGUUAAUACCCAAGAUGAGUGGACGUUACUCGCAGAAUAAGCACCGGCUAACUCUGUGCCAGCAGCCGCGGUAAUACAGAGGGUGCGAGCGUUAAUCGGAUUUACUGGGCGUAAAGGGUGCGUAGGCGGCCUUGUAAGUCAGAUGUGAAAGGCUACGGCUCAACCGUAGUAAGCAUUUGAAACUGCAGGGCUUGAGUGCAGGAGAGGAGAGUGGAAUUCCUAGUGUAGCGGUGAAAUGCGUAGAUAUUAGGAGGAACACCAGUGGCGAAGGCGACUCUCUGGACUGUAACUGACGCUGAGGCACGAAAGCGUGGGGAGCAAACA